Molecule: long non-coding RNA, 793 nt
Filed under: Mus pahari (shrew mouse)
Lineage: Eukaryota; Metazoa; Chordata; Mammalia; Rodentia; Muridae
Description: predicted gene 11537 (MGP_PahariEiJ_G0002607.1)
Source: RNAcentral
GCUGGGGUGGCUGGACUUCGGGCACACACUGGGCAGAGAAAAAUGCAGAAGGACUCCAGCACUGCCUGGAUGAAAAGAAAUUUUCAACAAUGCUUGCUGUUUUUCUGCACCUGGCACCUCAGACAGGCUUGGAAGAUGGAAGCAACAUCAGGGAAAUUACACCUAACAAGGUUCAUGCCCAGAUCUGUGAGGAGAGCCGCAUCCUAGCUCUCUGAAAAACCGUCCCUCCUGCAGUGGUGAACUUGAGUCUCCCACACAAUGCAAGAGAGCUCCAGCGCACAGUUCUAUGGCGUUAUUUCCACGCUGAUAAAUUCAUGAUUUAUGAAAGUAACUCCUGCCAGCUCCCACUCCCUCCUUCCCUGCUACAGUUUGUUAGACACAAAUUGCAACAACAGUCUUAAAUACUCGCAGUUUAUUUCAGGCCAAAGCCCCUCAACUCUCAACGAGGUGCCACUACGAUCCCGCAACGCAGGCCAGGAGUACCUGGGCUGGGGUGGACCCACAGCCACGGUGGAUGGCCAGAUGGGGAGAAACACACAAGCCUAAACUGUGCAGCAGCACCGUGGCAAGCCGGGCACACAGCGCGCCCUAGCCCUCCAGCCAGCCGCCUCUGCUGUCUGCAGAUUUCAGCAGCAGGAGGCAGGAGCCGCCUCACCGUCUGAAGGAGAGCUUAUGGCUCCUGAGCUCCAUCUCCAGAGCCCUCGCUUUCAGGCUGAAACAGAGCCUGUGUGCCCCACUGACUGAACUUGCUGGCUUCCCAGGAAAACAGCAGUAGGCCCUGGCAGCCAAAGCC